This 430-nucleotide ribosomal RNA is filed under the name Bacillota bacterium. RNAcentral describes it as "Firmicutes bacterium partial 16S ribosomal RNA". It matches the Rfam family "Bacterial small subunit ribosomal RNA", at positions 355 to 776 of the family's 1533-position model. Lineage: Bacteria; Bacillati; Bacillota. The record is from RNAcentral.
UGGGGAAUAUUGGACAAUGGGCGCAAGCCUGAUCCAGCCAUGCCGCGUGUGUGAAGAAGGCCUUUUGGUUGUAAAGCACUUUAAGCGAGGAGGAGGCUACUUGGAUUAAUACUCUAGGAUAGUGGACGUUACUCGCAGAAUAAGCACCGGCUAACUCUGUGCCAGCAGCCGCGGUAAUACAGAGGGUGCGAGCGUUAAUCGGAUUUACUGGGCGUAAAGCGUGCGUAGGCGGCUUUUUAAGUCGGAUGUGAAAUCCCUGAGCUUAACUUAGGAAUUGCAUUCGAUACUGGGAAGCUAGAGUAUGGGAGAGGAUGGUAGAAUUCCAGGUGUGGCGGUGAAAUGCGUAGAGAUCUGGAGGAAUACCGAUGGCGAAGGCAGCCAUCUGGCCUAAUACUGACGCUGAGGUACGAAAGCAUGGGGAGCAAACAGG